RNAcentral lists this ribosomal RNA (652 nucleotides) under Pseudomonas sp. JY10. Its description in RNAcentral is "bacterial SSU rRNA". It matches the Rfam family "Bacterial small subunit ribosomal RNA", at positions 100 to 751 of the family's 1533-position model. Lineage: Bacteria; Pseudomonadati; Pseudomonadota; Gammaproteobacteria; Pseudomonadales; Pseudomonadaceae. The record is from RNAcentral.
CACGGGUGAGUAUGCCUAUGAAUCUGCCUGGGAAAGGGGGACACGUUUCCAAAGGAACGCUAAUACCGCAUACGUCCUACGGGAGAAAGUGGGGGAUCUUCUGACCUCUUGCUAUCAGAUGAGCCUAGGUCGGAUUAUCUAUUUGGGGAGGUAAUGGGUCACCAAGGGGACAAUCCGCAACUGGGCUGAGAGGAUGAUCACUCUCACUGGAACUGAGACACGGUCCCCACUCCUACGGGAGGCGGCAGUGGGGAAUAUUGGACAAUGGGCGAAAGCCUGAUCCCCCCAUGCCGCGUGUGUGAAAAAAGUCUUCUGAUUGUGAAGCACUUUAAAUUGGGAGGAAAGGGAGUUAAUUAAUACCUUGCUGUUUUUACGUUACCGACACAAAAAGCACCGGCUAACUCUGUGCCAGCACCCGCGGUAAUACAGAGGGGGCAAGCGUUUAUCGCAAUUUCUGGGCGUAAAGCGCGCGUAUGUGGUUCGUUAAGUUGUAUGUGAAAGCCCCGGGCUCAACCUGGGAACUGCGUCCUCAACUGUGGAGAUAUAGUACGGUAGAGAGUGGUGUGAAUUCCUGUGUAUCGCUGAGAUGCGUAGAUAUAGGAGAGAGCACCAGUGUCGAAGGCGACAACAUGUGCUGAUACUGACACUGUGG